UACGUAGGGUGCAAGCGUUAAUCGGCAUUACUGGGCGUAAAGCGUGCGCAGGCGGUUUUGUAAGUCUGGCGUGAAAGCCCCGGGCUCAACCUGGGAAUUGCGAUGGAGACUGCAAGGCUUGAAUCUGGCAGAGGGGGGUAGAAUUCCACGUGUAGCAGUGAAAUGCGUAGAGAUGUGGAGGAACACCGAUGGCGAAGGCAGCCCCCUGGGUCAAGAUUGACGCUCAUGCACGAAAGCGUGGGGAGCAAACAGG
RNAcentral lists this ribosomal RNA (253 nucleotides) under uncultured bacterium. Its description in RNAcentral is "partial 16S ribosomal RNA". It matches the Rfam family "Bacterial small subunit ribosomal RNA", at positions 524 to 776 of the family's 1533-position model. The record is from RNAcentral.